AGUGCUUAAAGACUGGUAAUUAAACUAUAACUAGCAAGAAAUGAGAAACUGAUUACAUCUGCUUAUUUGGACAGUGAAUGGAACCACAUAUUCUGCCUGUUGGCAAACACCAAAUCUGUAUAGUUUAUUUUCUUCAAAGGGAAUCAUGAUUGCCAACAAUCACUCAGCACCAACAAUUUACUGAAUGUUUAUCUGCCUGCAUUCUUCUUGUGGCUGGAAAUGUAGCAGUGAACCAGACCGAGACCCUGAUCCGCUGGGUAUAUAGCUGGGGGAGUCAGACAUUCAUGAAAAUGACUUCUAGUGCCACAGAUAUUUCAAAAGAUGCAGUAAAGAGUUCUGUGGGUCUGAAUGAUAUGGUGUGCUAACCAAAUAUGUGAAGGUGGCGAAGGUCUCCUAGAAGAAUUGGUGCAAAACUUGAGUCUCAAAGGAUGAGCUGGGUGAGGAGUUGGGCACAGUAUUCUGGGCAGUGGGAACAUCAUGGACAGAAGCCUGAAUGCAGCGGAGAGACUGACUCACUUGUGGGCAUGAAGGAGAUCAGCAUGACUGGAUUGGAGCUCACUUCCUGGUGUUUUCACCUCAUUGCAUCCCUGGUUGGUUUCUGUUGCUUGCAAUGAAAGAACCCUUACAAAUGCAAUAAUGCAGAAGUAACAAUGAAGAUGACACUGAUUCACACAAGAUUUAAUUUGUUACAUGAGUAAAUAAACAAAGCAAAAUGAACAGAAUUUACUAUACUGCAUCCCUGCUGGGAGUAUGUUGAGCUAUCUGGCCUGGAAGGCCUUUGUGACCUGUUGAAAGAAUAUACAUGGAUUUACUUCAGGAGAAAAAUAAAGUGUUAUUUUAAAAAU
RNAcentral lists this long non-coding RNA (845 nucleotides) under Homo sapiens (human). Its description in RNAcentral is "novel transcript". Lineage: Eukaryota; Metazoa; Chordata; Mammalia; Primates; Hominidae. The record is from RNAcentral.